GUGGCUGUAGCUCAAAGGAUAGAGCGCCCUGAUGACUCGGAGGCAGGUUGUGGGUUCGAAUCCCACCAGCCACU
Molecule: transfer RNA, 74 nt
Filed under: Candidatus Planktophila dulcis
Lineage: Bacteria; Bacillati; Actinomycetota; Actinomycetes; Candidatus Nanopelagicales; Candidatus Nanopelagicaceae
Description: tRNA-OTHER
Rfam family: tRNA
About the family: Transfer RNA (tRNA) molecules are approximately 80 nucleotides in length. Their secondary structure includes four short double-helical elements and three loops (D, anti-codon, and T loops). Further hydrogen bonds mediate the characteristic L-shaped molecular structure. tRNAs have two regions of fundamental functional importance: the anti-codon, which is responsible for specific mRNA codon recognition, and the 3' end, to which the tRNAs corresponding amino acid is attached (by aminoacyl-tRNA synthetases). tRNAs cope with the degeneracy of the genetic code in two manners: having more than one tRNA (with a specific anti-codon) for a particular amino acid; and 'wobble' base-pairing, i.e. permitting non-standard base-pairing at the 3rd anti-codon position.
Source: RNAcentral